This 484-nucleotide ribosomal RNA is filed under the name uncultured bacterium. RNAcentral describes it as "partial 16S ribosomal RNA". It matches the Rfam family "Bacterial small subunit ribosomal RNA", at positions 30 to 507 of the family's 1533-position model. The record is from RNAcentral.
AUUGAACGCUGGCGGCAGGCCUAACACAUGCAAGUCGAGCGGAUGAAGUGAGCUUGCUCCUGGAUUCAGCGGCGGUCGGGUGAGGAAUGCCUAGGAAUCUGCCUGGUAGUGGGGGAUAACGUCCGGAAACGGGCGCUAAUACCGCAUACGUCCUGAGGGAGCAAGUGGGGGCUCUUCGGACCUCACGCUAUCAAAUAACCCUAGUUCGGAUUGGCUAGUUGGUGGUGUAAUGGCCUACCAAGGCGACGAUCCGCAACUGGUCUGAGAGGAUGAUCAGUCACACUGGAACUGAGACAGGGUCCAGACUCCGACGGGAGGCAGCAGUGGGGAAUAUUGGACAAGGGGCGAAAGCCUGAUCCAGCCAUGCCGCGGGUGUGAAGAAGGUCUUCGGAUGGUAAAGCACUUUAAGAUGGGAGGAAGGGCAGUAAGUUAAUACCUUGCUGUUUUGACGGUACCAACAGAAUAAGCACCGGCUAACUUCGUG